This 960-nucleotide ribosomal RNA is filed under the name Nesterenkonia sp. PBZ-2C. Its description in RNAcentral is "bacterial SSU rRNA". It matches the Rfam family "Bacterial small subunit ribosomal RNA", at positions 90 to 1061 of the family's 1533-position model. The record is from RNAcentral. Lineage: Bacteria; Bacillati; Actinomycetota; Actinomycetes; Micrococcales; Micrococcaceae.
GAUUAGUGGCGAACGGGUGAGUAUCACGUGAGUAACCUGCCCUUGACUCUGGGAUAAGCCCGGGAAACUGGGUCUAAUACCGGAUAUGACCAGUCACCGCAUGGUGUGCUGGUGGAAAGCUUUAGCGGUUUUGGAUGGACUCGCGGCCUAUCAGCUAGACGGUGAGGUAAUGGCUCACCGUGGCGAUGACGGGUAGCCGGCCUGAGAGGGUGACCGGCCACACUGGGACUGAGACACGGCCCAGACUCCUACGGGAGGCAGCAGUGGGGAAUAUUGCACAAUGGGCGCAAGCCUGAUGCAGCGACGCCGCGUGUGGGAUGACGGCCUUCGGGUUGUAAACCACUUUCAGCAGGGAAGAAGCUUUUUGUGACGGUACCUGCAGAAGAAGCGCCGGCUAACUACGUGCCAGCAGCCGCGGUAAUACGUAGGGCGCGAGCGUUAUCCGGAAUUAUUGGGCGUAAAGAGCUCGUAGGCGGUUUGUCACGUCUGCUGUGAAAGCCCGGGGCUUAACCCCGGGUGUGCAGUGGGUACGGGCAGACUGGAGUGCAGUAGGGGAGACUGGAAUUCCUGGUGUAGCGGUGAAAUGCGCAGAUAUCAGGAGGAACACCGAUGGCGAAGGCAGGUCUCUGGGCUGUUACUGACGCUGAGGAGCGAAAGCAUGGGGAGCGAACAGGAUUAGAUACCCUGGUAGUCCAUGCCGUAAACGUUGGGCACUAGGUGUGGGGAACAUUCCACGUUUUCCGCGCCGUAGCUAACGCAUUAAGUGCCCCGCCUGGGGAGUACGGCCGCAAGGCUAAAACUCAAAGGAAUUGACGGGGGCCCGCACAAGCGGCGGAGCAUGCGGAUUAAUUCGAUGCAACGCGAAGAACCUUACCAAGGCUUGACAUACACCGGACCGCCCUAGAGAUAGGGUUUCCCUUCGGGGCUGGUGUACAGGUGGUGCAUGGUUGUCGUCAGCUC